This 410-nucleotide ribosomal RNA is filed under the name uncultured microorganism. RNAcentral's name for it is "bacterial SSU rRNA". It matches the Rfam family "Bacterial small subunit ribosomal RNA", at positions 509 to 917 of the family's 1533-position model. The record is from RNAcentral.
CAGCCGCCGCGGUAAUACGUAGGGGGCGAGCGUUGUCCGGAAUCACUGGGCGUAAAGGGCGUGUAGGCGGCCUGUUAAGUCAGGGGUGAAAGACCGGGGCUCAACCCCGGGGGUGCCUCUGAAACUGGCGGGCUUGAGUGCUCUAGAGGGCAGUGGAAUUCCCGGUGUAGCAGUGAAAUGCGUAGAGAUCGGGAGGAACACCAGUGGCGAAGGCGGCUGCCUGGGGAGUCACUGACGCUGAGGCGCGAAAGCUAGGGGAGCAAACAGGAUUAGAUACCCUGGUAGUCCUAGCCGUAAACGAUGAGCGCUAUGUGUGAGGGGUAUCGACCCCCCUCGUGCAGUAGCUAACGCAUUAAGCGCUCCGCCUGGGGAGUACGGCCGCAAGGUUGAAACUUAAAGGAAUUGGCGGG